CCAUCGAGUUUUUGAACGCAAGUUGCGCCCGAGGCCAUCAGGCCAAGGGCACGCCUGCCUGGGCGUCACGCAUCGCGUCGCCCUCCCCACUCCUCGCCCCGGACGGGACGAGGACCGCGGGUGAGGGCGGAGACUGGCCUCCCGUGCCUUCGCGCGGCCGGCCUAAACCCGGGUCCCUCGCUGCGGGCGUCACGACGAGUGGUGGUUGAAACCCUCAACUCGAAAGCGAGUCGUGCGCGCGCCCCGCGAGCCAGGAGACCGCUAGACCCUGAGGCGAGCGAGCCCCUUGCGAGGAGCGCUCUCCACGACCGCGACCCCAGGUCAGGCGGGGCUACCCGCUGAGUUUAAGCAUAUCAAUAAGCGGAGGAAAAGAAACUAACAAGGAUUCCCCUAGUAACGGCGAGCGAACCGGGAAGAGCCCA
This 422-nucleotide ribosomal RNA is filed under the name Wrightia laevis. RNAcentral's name for it is "eukaryotic LSU rRNA". The stretch from base 312 to 422 matches the Rfam family "Eukaryotic large subunit ribosomal RNA", at positions 1 to 111 of the family's 3401-position model. Lineage: Eukaryota; Viridiplantae; Streptophyta; Magnoliopsida; Gentianales; Apocynaceae. The record is from RNAcentral.